GGCCUGGCUGGACGGUCCGCCUUCUGGGUGAGUACUGUCUGUGGUCGGGUCCUACCUUCUGGCGAAGCGUCAUGGCCUUCACCGGCCGUGGCGGGGAGCCAGGACUUUUACUGUGAAAAAAUUAGAGUGUUCAAAGCAGGCACGCGCUUGAAUACAUUAGCAUGGAAUAAUGGAAUAGGACAGUGGUUCUAUUUGUUGGUUUCUAGGACCGUUGUA
This 216-nucleotide ribosomal RNA is filed under the name uncultured fungus. RNAcentral describes it as "partial small subunit ribosomal RNA". The stretch from base 94 to 216 matches the Rfam family "Eukaryotic small subunit ribosomal RNA", at positions 738 to 864 of the family's 1831-position model. The record is from RNAcentral. Lineage: Eukaryota; Fungi.